AAUCAACGCUGGCGGCGUGCCUCAGACAUGCAAGUCGAACGAUUAAAGCUCUCUUCGGAGAGUGUAUGGAGUGGCGCACGGGUGAGUAACACGUAAGUAAUCUACCCUCGAGUGGGGAAUAACAACCGGAAACGGUUGCUAAUACCGCAUAAUGCAGCGGCACCGCAAGGUGACAGUUGUUAAAGAUUUAUCGCUUGAGGAGGAGCUUGCGGCAGAUUAGCUAGUUGGUAGGGUAACGGCUUACCAAGGCUACGAUCUGUAACCGGUCUAAGAGGACGGUCGGUCACACUGACACUGAAUAACGGGUCAGACUCCUACGGGAGGCAGCAGUCGGGAAUUUUGGGCAAUGGGCGAAAGCCUGACCCAGCAACGCCGCGUGAAGGAUGAAGUAUUUCGGUAUGUAAACUUCGAAAGAAUAGGAAGAAUUAAUGACGGUACUAUUUAUAAGGUCCGGCUAACUACGUG
Molecule: ribosomal RNA, 465 nt
Filed under: uncultured bacterium
Lineage: Bacteria
Description: bacterial SSU rRNA
Rfam family: Bacterial small subunit ribosomal RNA
Source: RNAcentral